CCUACGGGCGGCAGCAGUGGGGAAUAUUGGACAAUGGGCGAAAGCCUGAUCCAGCCAUGCCGCGUGUGUGAAGAAGGCCUUCGGGUUGUAAAGCACUUUCAGUGGGGAAGAAAGCCUUGGGGCUAAUACCCUCGAGGAAGGACAUCACCGACAGAAGAAGCACCGGCUAACUCCGUGCCAGCAGCCGCGGUAAUACGGAGGGUGCGAGCGUUAAUCGGAAUUACUGGGCGUAAAGCGCGCGUAGGCGGUCUGAUAAGCCGGUUGUGAAAGCCCCGGGCUCAACCUGGGAACGGCAUCCGGAACUGUCAGGCUAGAGUGCAGGAGAGGAAGGUAGAAUUCCCGGUGUAGCGGUGAAAUGCGUAGAGAUCGGGAGGAAUACCAGUGGCGAAGGCGGCCUUCUGGACUGACACUGACGCUGAGGUGCGAAAGCGUGGGUAGCAAACAGGAUUAGAUACCCGGGUAGUC
This 465-nucleotide ribosomal RNA is filed under the name Vreelandella stevensii. RNAcentral's name for it is "partial 16S ribosomal RNA". It matches the Rfam family "Bacterial small subunit ribosomal RNA", at positions 338 to 795 of the family's 1533-position model. The record is from RNAcentral. Lineage: Bacteria; Pseudomonadati; Pseudomonadota; Gammaproteobacteria; Oceanospirillales; Halomonadaceae.